RNAcentral lists this ribosomal RNA (559 nucleotides) under Penicillium oxalicum. RNAcentral describes it as "eukaryotic LSU rRNA". The stretch from base 176 to 329 matches the Rfam family "5.8S ribosomal RNA". Lineage: Eukaryota; Fungi; Ascomycota; Eurotiomycetes; Eurotiales; Aspergillaceae. The record is from RNAcentral.
GGGCUCGUGUAGGUCUCUGGGUCACCUCCACCCGUGUUUAUCGUACCUUGUUGCUUCGGCGGGCCCGCCUCACGGCCGCCGGGGGGCAUCCGCCCCCGGGCCCGCGCCCGCCGAAGACACACAAACGAACUCUUGUCUGAAGAUUGCAGUCUGAGUACUUGACUAAAUCAGUUAAAACUUUCAACAACGGAUCUCUUGGUUCCGGCAUCGAUGAAGAACGCAGCGAAAUGCGAUAAGUAAUGUGAAUUGCAGAAUUCAGUGAAUCAUCGAGUCUUUGAACGCACAUUGCGCCCCCUGGUAUUCCGGGGGGCAUGCCUGUCCGAGCGUCAUUGCUGCCCUCAAGCACGGCUUGUGUGUUGGGCUCUCGCCCCCCGCUUCCGGGGGGCGGGCCCGAAAGGCAGCGGCGGCACCGCGUCCGGUCCUCGAGCGUAUGGGGCUUCGUCACCCGCUCUGUAGGCCCGGCCGGCGCCCGCCGGCGAACACCAUCAAUCUUAACCAGGUUGACCUCGGAUCAGGUAGGGAUACCCGCUGAACUUAAGCAUAUCAAUAAGCGGAGGAA